Hypanus sabinus (Atlantic stingray) is the source of this 848-nucleotide long non-coding RNA. RefSeq lists it as uncharacterized. NCBI's taxonomy places the organism in Eukaryota, Metazoa, Chordata, Chondrichthyes, Myliobatiformes, Dasyatidae. The transcript has 4 exons. The record is from RefSeq and is a predicted model, not a curated record.
CUGGCAAAGAACCAAUGUGAAAAAGAAGAAAAACUGUGCAAGAAAAAAAAUACUGAGACGUGAGUAAUCACAUAGGAGAUUGGCAAGCAUUCCACCUCAAUAUGUGGCUGCUCUUCAAAGCCUGAUUGAAAUCAAGAGCUUGUCAUGUCAGCAGGAUGGCAGAGAUCCUCUGUUCAACACUAUCAGGUGGCUGGGACAGCACGGUGACGUGCUCCUGUCCUUAGAGCUCACCGCAUUUCGAUACAUCCAGGUUCGGCCUGAAGUCGGGCACCUUCGGGAUGCAGCCUUGCGUGGCCCUUGUGGACACGAGUUCUUGCUAGUGUCACGAACUGAAGCACAGUGGGAGCCCGAGCACUGGGGCAGCAAGAGCAGCUGCUGGAGGUCUCUGCGCUCGGGCAAUCACAAUCUCUCUCGUCCUCAAUGGAUUUGGCAAAUUUGACCCUCAGGAAAGCAGGUAUAGCACCUCGAAGCGGACGAAGGUCGGCCAUCGGCAGAAGAGAGAGCACUAGGGUGGACUUCAAGCCAGAUUAAAGUGUUGAGGCUGGAGAGCAGGAAAAGAACUGGUGUUCAGCCCCACUACCCUGUGCCAGCCAAGAUCCCCCAAGAGAGCUCUUUCCUGACUGCCCAUGUUUGACCCGUCUCCUUGCCACUCCCACUGGGUUGGAGGUGAAGGAGUCUGGGUCCCUCACCACCAGGUUCAGGAACAGUUGUUGCCCAACAGCUACUGGGACCCUGGACUGGUGUGGGUGACUUCACUCAACCCAGUGCUGAGCUGCCUCCACAGCCCAAAGGUUCAGGGACUGCCUUUGUCAUGUAUGCUUUUUAUGGAAUCUAUUAUACUUCUUUAU